Molecule: ribosomal RNA, 497 nt
Filed under: uncultured bacterium
Lineage: Bacteria
Description: partial 16S ribosomal RNA
Rfam family: Bacterial small subunit ribosomal RNA
Source: RNAcentral
GAUGAACGCUGGCGGCGUGCCUAAUACAUGCAAGUCGAGCGAACAGAUGAGGAGCUUGCUCCUCUGACGUUAGCGGCGGACGGGUGAGUAACACGUGGCUAACCUACAUAUAAGACUGGGAUAACUUCGGGAAACCGGAGCUAAUACCGGAUAAUAUAUUGAACCGCAUGGUUCAAUAGUGAAAGACGGUUUUGCUGUCACUUAUAGAUGGAUCCGCGCCGCAUUAGCUAGUUGGUAAGGUAACGGCUUACCAAGGCAACGAUGCGUAGCCGACCUGAGAGGGUGAUCGGCCACACUGGAACUGAGACACGGUCCAGACUCCUACGGGAGGCAGCAGUAGGGAAUCUUCCGCAAUGGGCGAAAGCCUGACGGAGCAACGCCGCGUGAGUGAUGAAGGUCUUCGGAUCGUAAAACUCUGUUAUUAGGGAAGAACAAAUGUGUAAGUAACUAUGCACGUCUUGACGGUACCUAAUCAGAAAGCCACGGCUAACUACGUG